AAGCGGGAUGCUCUUCUUUGCCUCUUGCUAACGCGAUGAAACUCAUGAAUUGUGUUUUGGUGUUCCAAACUAUCAACAUUCCAAUUGUUGGUUUCCACCACUUCAAACAUACUCCUACUACGCAUUGUGAGCUAUUGUUUUAGGGGUCCUGCGCAGGGUCCUGAGAACAACACUUUCGCCUUUGCAGGCGAUCUGCAUCCCCUUUCUUUUUUCCUCUCUCAAUGAGUGGAAGCUGUGCACGGCCAGCGAAUAUAACGGCUAGUGAAGCGGGAAAGACUCACAUUUGAAAGCUGACGCCCGCAAUGUAGCAUCAACAGGCGCCUUCCAACGAAGCAUCAACUUCGCCAUUAGAAGUUACAUCCCCGGAAUUCUAAUUCUCGUUAGCUUAACACCACUUAGAAAGCUCUUACCACUAAAAUUGAUGCUAAUAAUGGAUAUCGCUCCCACAGAAGAUCUUUAAGUACAGUGCAACAAGGAACGGGAC
RNAcentral lists this small RNA (484 nucleotides) under Histoplasma capsulatum var. duboisii H88. RNAcentral's name for it is "Histoplasma capsulatum H88 hypothetical RNA". Lineage: Eukaryota; Fungi; Ascomycota; Eurotiomycetes; Onygenales; Ajellomycetaceae. The record is from RNAcentral.